GCAGAAGAAGCACCGGCUAACUCCGUGCCAGCAGCCGCGGUAAUACGGAGGGUGCGAGCGUUAAUCGGAAUUACUGGGCGUAAAGCGCAUGCAGGUGGUUGUUAAGUCAGAUGUGAAAGACCCGGGGCGUCAACCUCGGAAUAGCAUUUGAAACUGGCAGACUAGAGUACUGUAGAGGGGGUAGAAUUUCAGGUGUAGCGGUGAAAUGCGUAGAGAUCUGAAGGAAUACCGGUGGCGAAGGCGGCCCCCUCGGACAGAUACUGACACUCAGAUGCGAAAGCGUGGGGAGCAAACAGGAUUAGAUACCCUGGUAG
Molecule: ribosomal RNA, 314 nt
Filed under: uncultured bacterium
Lineage: Bacteria
Description: bacterial SSU rRNA
Rfam family: Bacterial small subunit ribosomal RNA
Source: RNAcentral